GUAUAACAUUCACACAGAUUCACUUUAUUUUCUCUCUCAUUCACACUUUGUUAUCCCCAAACCCUAGCAGCAGCCGCUGUGCACUCAUCCCUUCUCUGUUUUCUCUUUCAAGUUCAAGUCCCAAACUUUCUCUUCUAAUUUCUUCUACUCUCAUUUUUUGUUUGUGAAUUCUUCUCUAUUACUUUGUUCCUCUCCAACAAUUUUUUUUCUACUCUAUGUCUCUCAAAACAACUCUAUAUAUUUGCAGAUCUAAAUGUUUGUCAUUGCUUUUGUUUGUUUGAAUUUUUUACAGAUCCGGAUUUUUUAGUUUUUGAUAUGUUAUUCUAUUUUUCUAGAGAAGAUUGGUUACUUUGUUUGAUUUUUUUCUUUCUCAUCUUUCUUCUUAUUCAUGACCCGUACAGACCAAACCGAAUGAUUCGAUGAACCCGAAAAACCGCAGCCCGAAAAACCGAAAUAAAAUAUCGGUCGAUAUGGACCUUGUAAUAACACACGUGGUUUGGGUCGGAUGGACAUUUUGGGCCCACACUGACCCAUUGUCCACCCCUACAAACCACUACCAGUCUCCUUCAUUAUUCAUUAUUCAUUUCCAAAGUUAGAAAACAACCUUUUACUCUUCUCUCUCACGCAAAAGCUUCAGCAACAACAACAAAAUCAUUUUACUCCAUUUUGGAAGCUUUGAGCCUUGCGUGUGUCUCUACACACAUGUUCUUCCAUCUUAAUCAAUCUCCCAAAGAAGAAGCUUCACUCAUCUCUUCCCUUGCAGCCAUAUCCAACAAAUUUCCAAACUCUCACAAAUAACCCAUUUCUAGUCAUGCAUGUUUGAGAUUGUUCUUUAGAUUCAAGAUUUGAAGUGAUGUAAUCUAAGUCCUAGCCACUGCAUGUGUAGACCCCUCUUGGAUUGAGAUGUUUGUUCAAAAAUCUAAGAGUUAGAGAGAAGAAUUAGCACUGAAUAAGUAUGUUAGAGCAGAAGAACAUGGGCACAAGAUGGAAGCUUGAAGUUUUGAUUGUGGAUUUUUGAAGAAAUUUGGGUUAAACCCGUAUUCAAGGACAGACCUUCCCUAAAAAGUUUUAUAAUUUUUGGACGAGGGAUGAGGUUGGUAGCCAUUUUUGAAGUUGGAAGUCAGUAGAAGGAAUUGUGCAGAAAAUCUGAUUUUUUUUUUGUUUUUAUGGGCUACGGGUUUGCAUUUUGAGCGGCUCAAACGGAUGAUUAUAAGCGUGUGAAACAGUUCGGAAUUGCUAUCAAUUCAGGUGGGUUCCCUUAAGUUCAAUUUCACCUUAAUAGAGUAGUUCAUAGUUUUCCCCAAAUAUUAAACUAUGCAUGACAACUUAAGUUUGGUUAUGUUUAGGAUUAAAUUAGAAUAACUCAUUAACUGAUUAAUUAACCACUUAAAUAAGCCCUGCAUGUUGAAUUGACUGUAAUAUGUGGAAUUUAGUACGAAGUAUAAUUAUAUAAGCUGAAUUGGACAUAAACACUAUGUUGAGUUAUGCAGGAUUCCGUGGUUGAAUCGGCUCAACCAGAGCUUGCAUUGAUCCAUAAGUUUCCUUGUGAAGCAAAAAUGUGUCUUAUGCGCCUCAUGAGCCGGUUCAUGCCUUGAAUGAGCCUGUGCAUAAGCGCAUAAUGUAUUUUAUUAAAAUCUGGGAAAUGUUGCAUCGGUACAAACGUUGUGUGAACCGGCUUAAGCAUGUCCUGGGUGAGUUUGAAUUUCUACAAGGCAAACUUGUGUCGAUGCAUAUAAGUCAAAUAUCUUGCUUUCUUAAAAACUGGAUUAUAUGCAUCGGUACAUAGAACCCUUGAACCGGUGCAAACAAAAUAAUUUACUAAAAACCUUUUGGCUUAUAUAUAGGAGGUAUAAUAACCGUUUUAUUUCAACUGAAAAUCCUCCAUUAUGAACAUUAUUUUAUAAAAACUAUAAGUGACUAGAAUUCCACGAUUACGGACUUUCGUACAUGUAUUAAAAUCAGUUAGACAAUUGAAUCAGGAUAUUCAGGAUUGUUAGAAAUACCCUCGGGAAGGUUUUCUUUUCUUUGUGCAGGAUAACCAUUCAAGAUUAUGAACAUUAGUUACCAUGUCAUGAGAAUCAUUUCAGAAUCCGAGAAAUUUAAUAAGAACUGCAAGCUGAGGUGGAACCCGACGUAUAUUAUUAUCGGUAGUACGAGGACUAGGCACUCCGGGACCCGCUUGCCUCGAAGUGACCCUAUGCGGAUAAUAUUGACAAGAUAAUAAUAAGCGGUACACCUUUACUGCUUUAUAUUAUUAUGUUAUGAAUUAUGUCAAGAUUAGUACUAUUAGAAGUUCAGGAUCAGGUUAUGUUAGAAACUAUUAGUUUUAGUUCCCCUGGUGUAGUCACCAGUAGUUGGGUAGUAGGAACUCACUGAGGCUUAGUAGUGUCAUCCCACGCCCUUCAAAUUUUUUUAGGUAAAUAGGUUAACCUGAGCAAGGACCAGACAGGAACCGAUGAUCGACGUUGCGCUUGGAUUAUCGGAUUAGAAGACUUUCGUUAAGCUGUUAAGUUGGGAUACAAUUUGUUAAGUUGUUAAGUUGAGAUACAAUUCUCUUUCGUUUGUAUUGUACUGGAUUUUCACAUUGUUCUUGUGAUAUCUUGUAAAUUCAAUAAAUUAUUUUUGAAUUUUAAGGUGCUCGGAUUUCAAUUAUUAAAUAUUCUAGUCAAUUUAGUUGGGGUUUCACAUCAGGAGGCAUUAAGACGCUUCCCUGGAAUUGAAAAUGUCUUCUCUAAGCUUUUUGUUUUUGUUGAAGAGGUCAAAAUGGAAUACAAUCAGUCGAAACCCAUAUAUAGCAAUGGAGUCAACCACCAACAAUGAAAAUUUGAGACUAAAGUUACAUUUGUCGAGUUCAAUCACCAAUAAGAAAAUAAUUUGACCUUAUCUAGCAUUUGGUGCAAAGAAGAAGCUGUGUUCCAGACACAAGCGAGCCAAAUAAGCUGCAUAAAGGACCGCCAUGCUCGCUGACCACCUACUGGCUGAGUGAAAGAAAUAAAUAAUGCGUCGAUUCAACAUCGCUGCAUCCAGAUACACAAUAGCAAACGUCGGCUGAAAUGAUUCCUCAAGUAACCAAGUUUUUCUUCGUUGGAAACCUAUCCCUCAAAAGUCUGCAUGCAAGAAUCGAAACCUUAAAGGAACCUGUCUGUGCCAUAUAAGACCGUGACCGUCAUCUAAAUUGACCAUAUCCUAAGAAAUCAAUAACUGAUACGCGCCACGAACAGAGUAACCGUGAUUAGGGUCUGGCACCCACUGCCACCUGUCUGAAAUAUGAUCCUACAAAGAGAUAGUAGGUAGUAAGGCCUGACACUAUCCUAACUUCUCCUCCUCCCACAACUGCCUCCUCCAAACCCACGUUUGACUACCAGCCCCCCACCCUAACAAAGACAUCUCUGCUACUAAAGCUGCUUUAUUCUCCGCUAAGUCAAACAUGCCUAAAACUCACCCACAAAAAACUAUCCCCUAGCCAUGGAUCAGUCCAAAACAAGGUAUCAGACCCAUCCCCAACCUUCUUCGAAACACUCUCUUGAAACAACCCUACACCAUCAGCACCCUCCAAGAUUCUCACAAUCUCCCUCCACCACGCAGACCCUCUCCUCUCUCCAUCUUUCACUCUUUCUCUCUCGACCCAAUACCUAGCUGCCAGCACUCGGAACCCAUUUUCCGAAAAGAGCUAAGUUAAACUCCCUCAAUUGUCUAACCUCUAACCCUACAUACUCCUUACGUAAACAAAUAGUUUUCCAACUGAUCCAAGGGAUUUUCCUACGAUCCUCACCCCCCCCCCCCCAAGAAAAUAUUAAUCAGAAAAGAUUCAAUAGAAGAGAUUAUACUUGAGGGAUCCUUGAAGAAGGAAAGAGCAUAGACAAGUAGAGAGGUUAAGACAUACUUGAGUAAGAUCAGACGACCGCCAAAAAAAGGGAAGCGACUCUUCCAUCCAUAUGACAUGUUCUUUAUAUGAGCUAUCAUCGGUUCCCAAAAAGCCAAACGACGCGGAUCACCACCAAUAGAAACCUAGAUAAAGGAAAGACACAUUUCCCACUCUACAGCACAGAGCCUAUGCGGCCUCAUGUAACUAGGAAUCAGGGAUAUUAACCCUUACCUGCAAACUCUUGUUUAAAUUAACCUUCAAAAUCAACAUAGACUCGAACACCACCAAGACGGCUUAAAGCGCAUGGACAUUCACCCAGGUUUUAGACCCGACCAGCAGCGUAUCAUCGGCAAACUGAAGGUGUGAGACCGAAACCCGAAACAUGAUUUUGUUCUCCAACAUUAUACCCCGUAAACAAAUUACUCUCAACCAUAGCAUGCAUCAUCACAUUCAAACCUUCGGCUGUUAGAAGAAAAAGAAAAUGAGAAAGUGGAUCCCCUUGUCUUAAACCCCUCUCAAGAGGGAACUCAUCAGUGGGACUACCGUUAACCAAGAUUGACGUUGUCGUCGUGCUAACACAUUCUCUAAUCCAUUUUCGCCACAACGUCGAAAAAGACAUAUGUCCCAUAACAUUAUCCAGAUAGCCCAGUCCAUCGAAUCAUAGGAUUUCUCGAAAUCCACCUUUAAUAACAACAAUUCCUUGUUAUACCUACGCGCCUCAUCAACCACCUCAUUCGCAAUGAGGAUUCCAUCGAGGAUUUGCACAUCCUUUACGAAUGCACUUUGCGACUCAAAAAUGACACUACCAAUACUGGAUGGAAAAUUGAAGGUGUAAAACGAGACUUGGCUGAUAUAUGUGAUACGUACUAUUCACAUAAAACCGUUGGAACGAAGAAUUUGCGAUCUGUCAAUGAAGUGGUGAAUCACUUACUUCCUGAAAGAUACCCCAAGUUACAUUGCAAGAAGGGAAAAUUAAAGGGCAAUGAAGUUAAGGAUGAAAACAGUAAUCUUGAAUCGAGGGGAAAAAGGAAGAGAAGAAGGAGAAAAUAAUGUUAAAGAAGUCUCAAGAAAAAGAAAGAAUAAUGUUUUUGUAAUC
This is a long non-coding RNA of Trifolium pratense (red clover), 4961 nucleotides long. RefSeq lists it as uncharacterized. The transcript is spliced from 3 exons. The record is from RefSeq and is a predicted model, not a curated record. Lineage: Eukaryota; Viridiplantae; Streptophyta; Magnoliopsida; Fabales; Fabaceae.